GUGAGGAAUAUUGGUCAAUGGGCGGGAGCCUGAACCAGCCUAGUCGCGUGAAGGAAGAAGGAUCUAUGGUUCGUAAACUUCUUUUGCAGGGGAAUAAAGUGCAGGACGUGUCCUGUUUUGUAUGUACCCUGAGAAUAAGGAUCGGCUAACUCCGUGCCAGCAGCCGCGGUAAUACGGAGGAUCCGAGCGUUAUCCGGAUUUAUUGGGUUUAAAGGGUGCGUAGGUGGUUUGAUAAGUCAGCGGUGAAAGUUUGCAGCUUAACUGUAAAAAUGCCGUUGAAACUGUCGGACUUGAGUGUAAAUGAGGUAGGCGGAAUGCGUGGUGUAGCGGUGAAAUGCAUAGAUAUCACGCAGAACUCCGAUUGCGAAGGCAGCUUACUAAGCUACAACUGACACUGAAGCACGAAAGCGUGGGGAUCAAACAGGAUUAGAAACCCCAGUAGUCC
RNAcentral lists this ribosomal RNA (445 nucleotides) under uncultured bacterium. Its description in RNAcentral is "partial 16S ribosomal RNA". It matches the Rfam family "Bacterial small subunit ribosomal RNA", at positions 354 to 796 of the family's 1533-position model. The record is from RNAcentral.